UCUGUAGCCGUUCUGAAGGAUGAUCGCAAUGGACUGAACGUCAGAUCCUACGAGCAGCAGUGGGGAAUAUGACAUUGGGGGAUCCUGAUUCAGCCAUGCGCGUGUUGGAGAGCUUAUGGUGUAAGCACUUUAGCGAGGGAGGAGGCUCUUUUGGUAAUACCCAGAUGAGUGGACGUUACUCGCAGAAUAAGCACCGGCUAACUCUGUGCCAGCAGCCGCGGUAAUACAGAGGGUGCAAGCGUUAAUCGGAUUUACUGGGCGUAAAGCGCGCGUAGGCGGCCAAAUUAAGUCAAAUGUGAAAUCCCCGAGCUUAACUUGGGAAUUGCAUUCGAUACUGGUUGGCUAGAGUGUGGGAGAGGAUGGUAGAAUUCCAGGUGUAGCGGUGAAAUGCGUAGAGAUCUGGAGGAAUACCGAUGGCGAAGGCAGCCAUCUGGCCUAACACUGACGCUGAGGUGCGAAAGCAUGGGGAGCAAACAGGAUUAGAUACCCUGGUAGUCCAUGCCGUAAACGAUGUCUACUAGCCGUUGGGGCCUUUGAGGCUUUAGUGGCGCAGCUAACGCGAUAAGUAGACCGCCUGGGGAGUACGGUCGCAAGACUAAAACUCAAAUGAAUUGACGGGGGCCCGCACAAGCGGUGGAGCAUGUGGUUUAAUUCGAUGCAACGCGAAGAACCUUACCUGGCCUUGACAUAGUAGAAACUUUCCAGAGAUGGAUUGGUGCCUUCGGGAAUCUACAUACAGGUGCUGCAUGGCUGUCGUCAGCUCGUGUCGUGAGAUGUUGGGUUAAGUCCCGCAACGAGCGCAACCCUUUUCCUUACUUGCCAGCAUUUCGGAUGGGAACUUUAAGGAUACUGCCAGUGACAAACUGGAGGAAGGCGGGGACGACGUCAAGUCAUCAUG
Molecule: ribosomal RNA, 898 nt
Filed under: Acinetobacter baylyi
Lineage: Bacteria; Pseudomonadati; Pseudomonadota; Gammaproteobacteria; Moraxellales; Moraxellaceae
Description: bacterial SSU rRNA
Rfam family: Bacterial small subunit ribosomal RNA
Source: RNAcentral